CACGGGCACCCAUAGCUGACCCAGUCGGCCACCGUAGUCGGCAGCUCACUAUCCUCCACUAGUCCCAGGUUUGACCGUUUCUCAAACCGUGCCUUCCCAUUUAUGCUGCAUCCGCGCCCUGAAUCUGAAAUUGGUCGUCCUGCCACGCCGCCUCACCGCGGUAUAAGGUCGUCCCAUCCUGAAUGGCCGGUGCGCAGACUCAAUUGCGACUUUGAGGCUGUCAGCCGCCACCCGGCAACCUUCCAGUGAACAGGAUUCUGGGUUUCUCAAAGCUGUAAUUGGAGGGCCACUCCAGAGGUGUUAAAGCUCCAGCACUUCGAGCCUGCCUCGUGGGAAAGUCUUAGGCUGAGUCUGUAGGUGUCUGCAGUUAAGAAGCCAGCGGUCUGCAUAUGAUUGCUCAGGGGUGGUGGCUGGGUCCAACAGCAUUCACUACAGGCCUGCCUUGAAUACCACCUAGCGCAGUGCUCCGCAUAUCACAGGGGCUGGAAACCUAACAAUUUCACUUCCUAGACAACUUGCUAAAAGUCACCUAAAGACAGUCUGGUUACUGCCAAAGAUAUGCUUUCAAAUAAGAUUUGGAUAAAGAAGGGAGGUAGAUGCCUUUUUUCAGCAGUGGAGUGAUGUCUAGACCAGUAGAUGUACGCAUCUAAGUGAAUUCAUCACCAGCAACAAUUUCCAGAAACUUCCUGACCUCCAGAUUGCAGCUUCAUUAGUGUGAGUUUAAAGCCAACUAGAUGCCAUUCUCAGAUUCCACGCAUAUGGCCAAGGGUCCAGGAAAUAAGAAGAAACAGGUUGAGGGGUUGGUGUUAUGGGGCAUUUACUUGAAUUUUCUAUGCUAUAAUUGUCUCAUCUUUAAAACGGUGAUAAUAAUAAAAUUGUCAGUUAUUAAAUAAAUUAACACAGUGAAAAAAAA
RNAcentral lists this long non-coding RNA (913 nucleotides) under Homo sapiens (human). RNAcentral's name for it is "HSALNT0397837". Lineage: Eukaryota; Metazoa; Chordata; Mammalia; Primates; Hominidae. The record is from RNAcentral.